RNAcentral lists this ribosomal RNA (557 nucleotides) under Listeria monocytogenes. RNAcentral describes it as "partial 23S ribosomal RNA". It matches the Rfam family "Bacterial large subunit ribosomal RNA", at positions 397 to 954 of the family's 2925-position model. The record is from RNAcentral. Lineage: Bacteria; Bacillati; Bacillota; Bacilli; Caryophanales; Listeriaceae.
CAGAGUGGAUCCUGAGUACGGCGGAACACGUGAAAUUCCGUCGGAAUCCGGGAGGACCAUCUCCCAAGGCUAAAUACUCCCUAGUGACCGAUAGUGAACCAGUACCGUGAGGGAAAGGUGAAAAGCACCCCGGAAGGGGAGUGAAACAGUUCCUGAAACCGUGUGCCUACAAGUAGUUAGAGCCCGUUAAUGGGUGAUAGCGUGCCUUUUGUAGAAUGAACCGGCGAGUUACGAUUUGUUGCAAGGUUAAGCGGAAAAAGCGGAGCCGUAGCGAAAGCGAGUCUGAAUAGGGCGCAUAAGUAACAGGUCGUAGACCCGAAACCAGGUGAUCUACCCAUGUCCAGGAUGAAGGUAAGGUAAUACUUACUGGAGGUCCGAACCCACGCACGUUGAAAAGUGCGGGGAUGAGGUGUGGGUAGCGGAGAAAUUCCAAUCGAACUUGGAGAUAGCUGGUUCUCUCCGAAAUAGCUUUAGGGCUAGCCUCGAGGUAAAGAGUCAUGGAGGUAGAGCACUGUUUGGACUAGGGGCCCUUCUCGGGUUACCGAAUUCAGAUAAAC